Unclassified non-coding RNA from Erinaceus europaeus (western European hedgehog), 312 nucleotides. Its record names the gene 7SK. It matches the Rfam family "7SK RNA". Rfam says of the family: 7SK was discovered as an abundant small nuclear RNA in the mid-70s but a possible function has only recently been suggested. Two independent studies have found that 7SK RNA binds the CDK9/cyclin T complex (known as elongation factor P-TEFb). The record is from Ensembl. Lineage: Eukaryota; Metazoa; Chordata; Mammalia; Eulipotyphla; Erinaceidae.
GGAUGUGAGGGCGAUCUGGCUGCAACAUCUAUCACCCCAUUGAUCACCAGGGUUGAUACGGCUGAUCUGGCUGGCUAGGCGGGUGUCCCUUUCCUCCCUCACCACUCCAUGUGUGCCUCUCCUGCGCACUCAGUCUUCGGUCGAGGGUAUACAAAUAGCUGUGCUCCCCUGCUAGAACCUCCAAACAAGCUCUCAAAACAGUGGGUCAUGAUUUUUUAACAACCCAGUAGAUUUGAUGUAUUAGGUUGGUAGUAUAGGCAAGUUUAUUGCAAGAAGCACAGGUUAGGCACCAGGGCUCUAGUGUCCCUCCCU